RNAcentral lists this ribosomal RNA (747 nucleotides) under uncultured organism. RNAcentral's name for it is "SSU rRNA". It matches the Rfam family "Bacterial small subunit ribosomal RNA", at positions 729 to 1482 of the family's 1533-position model. The record is from RNAcentral.
CUGGGCACCAACUGACGCUGAGGCUCGAAAGCAUGGGUAGCAAACAGGAUUAGAUACCCUGGUAGUCCAUGCCGUAAACGAUGAUUACUAGGUGUUGGAGGAUUGACCCCUUCAGUGCCGCAGUUAACACAAUAAGUAAUCCACCUGGGGAGUACGACCGCAAGGUUGAAACUCAAAGGAAUUGACGGGGGCCCGCACAAGCAGUGGAGUAUGUGGUUUAAUUCGAAGCAACGCGAAGAACCUUACCAGGUCUUGACAUCCGAUGCAUAGUGCAGAGAUGCAUGAAGUCCUUCGGGACAUCGAGACAGGUGGUGCAUGGUUGUCGUCAGCUCGUGUCGUGAGAUGUUGGGUUAAGUCCCGCAACGAGCGCAACCCUUAUUGCCAGUUACUACGCAAGAGGACUCUGGCGAGACUGCCGUUGACAAAACGGAGGAAGGUGGGGAUGACGUCAAAUCAUCAUGCCCUUUAUGACCUGGGCUACACACGUACUACAAUGGCGUUUAACAAAGAGAAGCAAGACCGCGAGGUGGAGCAAAACUCAAAAACAACGUCUCAGUUCAGAUUGCAGGCUGCAACUCGCCUGCAUGAAGUCGGAAUUGCUAGUAAUCGCGGAUCAGCAUGCCGCGGUGAAUACGUUCCCGGGCCUUGUACACACCGCCCGUCACACCAUGAGAGCCGGGGGGACCCGAAGUCGGUAGUCUAACCGUAAGGAGGACGCCGCCGAAGGUAAAACUGGUGAUUGGGGUG